CGGCAGCACAGCCAGCGGCAGUACGGUGCCUGUCCUCGGCAGUGCUGCCUUUAUCUCUACGUUUAUCACAGGGUUGCUGCCGUUCACCUUUCAUACAUCUUUUUUCCCCACGCUGUUUGUGGAGAAAACAGAUGGAGUGAUCCUGUGGGGUGAUUGUAAGCCUCUUGAGUCUCCACACCUUCAUGACUUCAACACAGUUCCCAAGUAAUACAGUUACUGACCAUUAGUGUACAGACUUCUUGAGACAGAGUGGCCUCCAGCAGACUGUGUUCAACACCCAUCAACAGUGAGCUAUUGGCUGAGAGUGGAUCAAAUCCAAAUUUAGCCUCCUGUCUCAUAAGUUGUAUCCUUGCAAAGGUUGUCUGAAGCCUGGAAUCAAAUUCACCUUAAGACUGAAAUCUACUGAAGAUUAAAGCAUAAAACAACUGUCCCCUGAGAAUCUGGACACACAACUCAGCCUGACUUCCGGCACACAAGGUUUUCACGUGGGCUCUCUCACAGAAUUUAAAUUUUCCAUCUGGAUCCUGGCUCCACCACGGUGAACAGAAGUGUUGCAGAACCCCGAAGAGCCAGCUGUGCAUUUCAGUUUGGUAUUUGUGAGACUGAGCAAGGUGAGUCACUUAUCGCAGUCGUUACAUUCAACACGUCCCACAAGAGGAGCCGCUGAGAGCUUUCAAGAGCACUUCAAGGUUUGCUUUGCUGCAGUGCCUGUUGCAAAGGACUGCAUUUUCCAUUGUAAUAAUGCACUGCUUUAGAAUGGAUCCCAACAAGAAAAAAAUGUCUUACGCUAUUGCGGUAUUACAAUUUUAAUAAAUAUUUUCCUUGUUUCCCAAGUACUCCAUGGAAGCAAAGCAGGGAAGGAGUCGCUGCAAGCAUCAUCAACUAACAGCAGCAACUGAGAGAAUCAAGGGAUUUACCUGCCAGGCGUCGCUCACUCAUCAGCUUGGCUUUCAUUUGCCUUAAACACCCACUAAAGAUUAGCAGCACUUUACAUGCCCACUAAAAAGAAAAAGCACACUUCUAGGAAAUUACCUGUAUUGCAUCUUACAGGAUAUUUGUGGCAGAGGGAGGGGUAGGUUUUGCAAAUUCUUCCAAGAAAACCAAUGCCUUCACUUAAAGAAAAAAGUCAGAAAAGCACAGGAUGAGAAACAGAGGACAGUGGGAAUGAGACUGCAGCAGCACAGAUCCUUGGAACCUGGAUAAGGUGGCAAGCCCGUUCUGCCAAGUGGUAACAGUCUCCAUUCUUGCUGGAGUUAAUGGACACCCAAAUUCCUGGUGGAGAAAAAACAUUUCUAAACUAAAACCUCUUUUACUCAGCUCUUCUUUCUGCUGAAGCAAAAAAUCACUGAGUUCAAAAUCAGUCAAAAGCUGAUCCAACAGCUUAUGCAAGUGAGUUUCUUGCCAAAGGAAGGAGUGCUGGAACAAAUGAAUAACUUAAAGAAAAAUGGAGAUACUGUGGUAACAUGUAAAAUAGUUUAAUGGUGUGUUUGAGCCCAUUAAAAAUAGUGUAUUUCUUACUGGAGUAUGGAAUUGAAGCAA
Molecule: long non-coding RNA, 1539 nt
Organism: Zonotrichia albicollis (white-throated sparrow)
Lineage: Eukaryota; Metazoa; Chordata; Aves; Passeriformes; Passerellidae
Source: RefSeq, a predicted model, not a curated record